This 204-nucleotide unclassified non-coding RNA is filed under the name Hevea brasiliensis (rubber tree). Lineage: Eukaryota; Viridiplantae; Streptophyta; Magnoliopsida; Malpighiales; Euphorbiaceae. The record is from RNAcentral.
UUGGUACUGAACUGAAGCUAAGUUAGCUUUGGUUAUGCUAGUAACACUCUGUAAUUGAAAAGUACCUUCUUUUUUUUUUCUCAAUAAAUUUGAUGGGUUUUUCAGAAAAAUUUAGGGGUUUUAGAAAGUGGGUACUGUUUUAAUUUCUUUUUGUUGGGUUUCUUGACUGCCUGGGGACUGGGUUUUGAUCAAAAUUGUGAGGGG